UGCUGCUAUACAGCCAGCCAUAGCCAUUUCUGCCUUUACCUUCCAUCCUCCUUUUACCCAAGUGCCUUUUCAUUCAUGAGAUCACAAGAAGACACCCAAUCCUUAGCUCAUGUGCCAGAUUUGGGCAUCUCCACAUCUGGAAGCAGAUGUUUAAAUAGAAUAGUAGCAACCGAAGGAAUGUGGCAGCAAUGCAGAAUUUAUUCAGCCUGUAGAAUCAAGCCUUGAGCUGUGAGGCUCAGAAUCUCCACUUCUGUAAAAUGAAUAAAGCAAUUUAUUCACUUA
This 282-nucleotide long non-coding RNA is filed under the name Mus caroli (Ryukyu mouse). RNAcentral describes it as "lncRNA (MGP_CAROLIEiJ_G0005592.1)". Lineage: Eukaryota; Metazoa; Chordata; Mammalia; Rodentia; Muridae. The record is from RNAcentral.